RNAcentral lists this ribosomal RNA (497 nucleotides) under uncultured bacterium. RNAcentral describes it as "partial 16S ribosomal RNA". It matches the Rfam family "Bacterial small subunit ribosomal RNA", at positions 28 to 507 of the family's 1533-position model. The record is from RNAcentral.
GACGAACGCCGGCGGCGUGCCUAAUACAUGCAAGUUGAGCGCUGAAGGUUGGUACUUGUACCAACUGGAUGAGCAGCGAACGGGUGAGUAACGCGUGGGGAAUCUGCCUUUGAGCGGGGGACAACAUUUGGAAACGAAUGCUAAUACCGCAUAAAAACUUUAAACACAAGUUUUAAGUUUGAAAGAUGCAAUUGCAUCACUCAAAGAUGAUCCCGCGUUGUAUUAGCUAGUUGGUGAGGUAAAGGCUCACCAAGGCGAUGAUACAUAGCCGACCUGAGAGGGUGAUCGGCCACAUUGGGACUGUGACACGGCCCAAACUCCUACGGGAGGCAGCAGUAGGGAAUCGUCGGCAAUGGACGAAAGUCUGACCGAGCAACGCCGCGUGAGUGAAGAGGGUUUUCGGAUCGUAAAACUCGGUUGGUAGAGAAGAACGUUGGUGAGAGUGGAAAGCUCAUCAAGUGACGGUAACUACCCAGAAAGGGACGGCUAACUACGUG